Non-coding RNA from Delphinapterus leucas (beluga whale), 766 nucleotides. The record is from RefSeq and is a predicted model, not a curated record. NCBI's taxonomy places the organism in Eukaryota, Metazoa, Chordata, Mammalia, Artiodactyla, Monodontidae.
CAGGGGGCUGGAGGCGCCUUCAUCCGCCCGCCUCGCACCCGGGUCGGCCUGCCCAGCCCUCGGCUUGGGGACCCCGGGCGUCCCGCCCCGGUCGUCCGGUUCCGACGGCCACUGCGGGCAGUAUUGGUAGCGGCCGCCAAGGAUGAGAAGGGUUGUGCCGCGUGGGAAGUGGGUGCGAGUCCUUGAGGCGGGCUGGGAAGGGGGGCGGGCUCACCCUCGUAGUCCCCUCUGGUCACGCUCCCGCCAGUGACACUGGACCUGGCAGAGCAAGGCGGGCGGCUUCGAGGUUGUAAGCAGGGAAUUGCCACUAUUUGCGGGCUUUCUAAAGGCCACGUGUUCCAGCUCCUGAAGACAAAUGGAAUGACAACAACUGGAGCAACAUUUUGGAUACAAGCUACUCGCUCCUCUUCAUGGAAACAGUACCCUCGUUUAUUUUGAGGAUCGUACCAGCACCCCUCGGCCCAUAAGCUUCAGGUGAUAUCAGCCACUACUAUGACUCACUGGGUGACCCACGACUCAGAUUGGUGGCUUUGGGACGCAGGAGACAGCAUCCUUGAUGAUUUCUCACAGGAGGCACCAUCAGGAAUUGCAGCAAUGAGGCCUCUUCAGCCAGGGCCAUUACUGAGAGGAACUGGAGCAUGGCUGCAGUUAAUUUCAUCUGGCACCACCAUACUAAGUCCUCCAAUCAAGAAAGCAGUCCUGAAUUUCCUCCUCUUCCAUCAGCUGAUCUCUGGGAUUCCUCAGUAACCUAUACCCCACCAUCAGG